UCUACUUGUUGAAUAAUGGUA
RNAcentral lists this non-coding RNA (21 nucleotides) under Caenorhabditis elegans. The record is from RNAcentral. Lineage: Eukaryota; Metazoa; Nematoda; Chromadorea; Rhabditida; Rhabditidae.